GAUGAACGCGGCGGCGUGCCUAAUACAUGCAAGUAGAACGCUGAAGGAGGAGCUUGCUUCUCUGGAUGAGUUGCGAACGGGUGAGUAACGCGUAGGUAACCUGCCUGGUAGCGGGGGAUAACUAUUGGAAACGAUAGCUAAUACCGCAUAAGAGCAGUUGUUGCAUGACAGCUGUUUAAAAGGUGCAAUUGCACCACUACCAGAUGGACCUGCGUUGUAUUAGCUAGUUGGUGAGGUAACGGCUCACCAAGGCGACGAUACAUAGCCGACCUGAGAGGGUGAUCGGCCACACUGGGACUGAGACACGGCCCAGACUCCUACGGGAGGCAGCAGUAGGGAAUCUUCGGCAAUGGGGGCAACCCUGACCGAGCAACGCCGCGUGAGUGAAGAAGGUUUUCGGAUCGUAAAGCUCUGUUGUAAGAGAAGAAACGAGUGUGAGAGUGGAAAG
This 448-nucleotide ribosomal RNA is filed under the name Streptococcus peroris. RNAcentral describes it as "bacterial SSU rRNA". It matches the Rfam family "Bacterial small subunit ribosomal RNA", at positions 28 to 471 of the family's 1533-position model. Lineage: Bacteria; Bacillati; Bacillota; Bacilli; Lactobacillales; Streptococcaceae. The record is from RNAcentral.